Molecule: transfer RNA, 75 nt
Filed under: Candidatus Berkelbacteria bacterium RIFCSPHIGHO2_12_FULL_36_9
Lineage: Bacteria; Candidatus Berkelbacteria
Also listed under: 1 other name
Description: tRNA-Lys
Rfam family: tRNA
About the family: Transfer RNA (tRNA) molecules are approximately 80 nucleotides in length. Their secondary structure includes four short double-helical elements and three loops (D, anti-codon, and T loops). Further hydrogen bonds mediate the characteristic L-shaped molecular structure. tRNAs have two regions of fundamental functional importance: the anti-codon, which is responsible for specific mRNA codon recognition, and the 3' end, to which the tRNAs corresponding amino acid is attached (by aminoacyl-tRNA synthetases). tRNAs cope with the degeneracy of the genetic code in two manners: having more than one tRNA (with a specific anti-codon) for a particular amino acid; and 'wobble' base-pairing, i.e. permitting non-standard base-pairing at the 3rd anti-codon position.
Source: RNAcentral
GGGCCAGUAGCUCAGUGGUAGAGCAAUUGCCUCUUAAGCAAUUUGUCGUGGGUCCGAUCCCCACCUGGCCCUCCA